This 305-nucleotide ribosomal RNA is filed under the name uncultured bacterium. RNAcentral's name for it is "bacterial SSU rRNA". It matches the Rfam family "Bacterial small subunit ribosomal RNA", at positions 337 to 659 of the family's 1533-position model. The record is from RNAcentral.
ACCUACGGGAGGCAGCAGUGGGGAAUAUUGCACAAUGGGGGAAACCCUGAUGCAGCAACGCCGCGUGAGUGAAGAAGGUUUUCGGAUUGUAAAGCUCUGUUAGCAGGGAAGAGGAAGGACGGUACCUGCAGAGGAAGCCACGGCUAACUACGUGCCAGCAGCCGCGGUAAUACGUAGGAUGCGAGCGUUAUCCGGAUUUAUUGGGUUUAAAGGGUGCGCAGGCGGAUUUUUAAGUCAGCGGUCAAAUCGUGGGGCUCAACCCCAUCCAGCCGUUGAAACUGGGGAUCUAGAGUGUGCGAGAGGUA